This 253-nucleotide ribosomal RNA is filed under the name uncultured bacterium. Its description in RNAcentral is "partial 16S ribosomal RNA". It matches the Rfam family "Bacterial small subunit ribosomal RNA", at positions 524 to 776 of the family's 1533-position model. The record is from RNAcentral.
UACAGAGGGGGCAAGCGUUGUUCGGAAUUACUGGGCGUAAAGGGCGCGUAGGCGGCCCGCUAAGUCGAACGUGAAAUCCCCGAGCUCAACUCGGGAACUGCGUCCGAUACUGGCGGGCUUGAAUCCGGGAGAGGGAUGCGGAAUUCCAGGUGUAGCGGUGGAAUGCGCAGAUAUCAGGAGGAACACCGGUGGCGAAGGCGGGUCUCUGGGCAGUAACUGACGCUGAGGAGCGAAAGCGUGGGGAGCGAACAGG